CCGCCGACCGCCUGUUACGGCGCCCGCGCUUCCGAUUGGCGCACUGGGCGGGCGACCGCGGGCGGAAGUGGUAGAGGUGGGAAGGCGGGGCCGCCGCCAGGAGGCUCGACGCCAGGAUGCUCCCGCCUGGGGCUGGUCCCCGCGAUGCCUUUCCUGACUAAGGCCCGGUGGUGGGGCGAGGCCCACGAGCGCUUUCGGUGGCCCGGCAUCCAGAGCCUCCAGAUGAAAACUCAGCUCAGCUGACCCCUUUAUUUCUGCUUUGUGGUUCACUUAGUAGAGGACCCAGUCACACCAUGCUGGACGUCAGAACUACGGAAUUAAAUCUUCUGACAUCUUCAACUGCUCUGUGAAAUCUACUAUGCUAUGGUAAUAAGAAGUCCUCUAUGUGAUCAUAGGUCUGAGCUAAAGGAGGUGCACAGGAACAAUAUUGAAUGAGAAAAAGGAGCCUUAAACUUCCAAGAUCACACAACGAUUUGUUGGAGGACCUAAGAAUUCAAACCCAGUUUUAUCUGUUAAGAUACAACUUCUCUGAGAAGCAGGAGUAAAACUUCAAUCGAUCAGCUGUUUAUUUCGGAAAAAUGAGUUUGUGAUAGUUCUGCUUGAUUUCAGACUCUAAGAAAAAUCAGGAAAAACUGGAGGUAAUGUGGUGUGAUGUUAAGAACACCUGGGACUGAAGGUGACUAAGCCGGAAUGAGGAAUUUAUCUCUGAGACCCUCUCCCUUCCACAUGUUUUAUUUUGCAAGGUUCCUCCUGAUUUGUUAGGACAAGACAAUGGCAGUAUUUGGAUCACAGAACUAAUGAUAAUGGAAACGACCAACUAGUGAGAAGCCUUGCUGCCCAGAGGGGGAAGAUGGGCAGCGGGCACAGCUGCACUAUAUAAGCUCUGAGAUGCAUCAUUUCCCAGUUCCUCUCCUGUGGUACAAACUCAUGGAUGUGAAGGGCACAUCUGGCUCUCAUCGGUCGCCCUGUGGAGGCUUGGAGCACAGGGAACCAAUGCCAAGAUUCUUACUAUCACAUUUACCCAGGACCCAUGGUAAUAUCAUCCACUCGACGAUGGUUGGUGGUGGACCUUGCCUGUUCAAGUCUGACCUGUCGAUGUGCUGAGAGGCAAGCAGCAGCAGGAACAAAAAAGUCAAAUAAGAUGCUGUGUGGCAGAUGAACUUGAUAAAUGGCUUUCGGAUGAACAGUCCGAGGGGGCUUUUGGGAGCUAUAAGGUAGCACACAGAGAAGACGGGAAAGAGAAGUCCUAUUAUGAAACACGUCACCAUCUUCACGGCCCAGUGUCUUCUCCUCCAGCCGGGAAACUCAUCGUACCAGCGAGAUGCCAGCAGUUGUUGACAGUUGGGCUGAGCAACAAACUACAGGGAAAGGAAAGGAAAAGUGAGAGUCAGGGUUACACGCAGGGGCUCCAGCUCAUCAACAGGAACACAGUGUUAUCGUUCAAGUCACAAGUUCUGUUCAAAACAUAAAAUAAUUUUAUGUUUACACCAUCAUAAAGUGCUUUAAGCCGUUCUGUGAACAAAGCUCAUUUAUUGAACAUUUUAUACCCACGGCAAAGUGCUGAGUGCUUAGCCAGACACAACAGGGGUCAAAAUACUAUGGCUGUACCUUAGGAAGCAAAGAUAGAGCUGAGGACUAAGAAUAUCCAUAGGAUGUAUUGAUAACUGAACAGAGCUGUGUACAAAGAUAUACACAUAUAUGUGCAUAUAUAAGAAUUGUGAUAUAUAUAUAGGUA
This is a long non-coding RNA of Balaenoptera ricei (Rice's whale), 1735 nucleotides long. RefSeq lists it as uncharacterized. The transcript is spliced from 10 exons. NCBI's taxonomy places the organism in Eukaryota, Metazoa, Chordata, Mammalia, Artiodactyla, Balaenopteridae. The record is from RefSeq and is a predicted model, not a curated record.